ACGUAUCCAACCUGCCCUUUACUCGGGGAUAGCCUUUCGAAAGAAAGAUUAAUACCCGAUGGCAUAAUGAUUCCGCAUGGUUUCAUUAUUAAAGGAUUCCGGUAAAGGAUGGGGAUGCGUUCCAUUAGGUUGUUGGUGAGGUAACGGCCCACCAAGCCUUCGAUGGAUAGGGGUUCUGAGAGGAAGGUCCCCCACAUUGGAACUGAGACACGGUCCAAACUCCUACGGGAGGCAGCAGUGAGGAAUAUUGGUCAAUGGGCGCUAGCCUGAACCAGCCAAGUAGCGUGAAGGAUGAAGGCUCUAUGGGUCGUAAACUUCUUUUAUAAAGGAAUAAAGUCGGGUAUGGAUACCCGUUUGCAUGUACUUUAUGAAUAAGGAUCGGCUAACUCCGUGCCAGCAGCCGCGGUAAUACGGAGGAUCCGAGCGUUAUCCGGAUUUAUUGGGUUUAAAGGGAGCGUAGAUGGAUGUUUAAGUCAGUUGUGAAAGUUUGCGGCUCAACCGUAAAAUUGCAGUUGAUACUGGAUAUCUUGAGUGCAGUUGAGGCAGGCGGAAUUCGUGGUGUAGCGGUGAAAUGCGUAGA
RNAcentral lists this ribosomal RNA (580 nucleotides) under uncultured bacterium. Its description in RNAcentral is "bacterial SSU rRNA". It matches the Rfam family "Bacterial small subunit ribosomal RNA", at positions 115 to 694 of the family's 1533-position model. The record is from RNAcentral.